Molecule: long non-coding RNA, 855 nt
Organism: Magallana angulata
Lineage: Eukaryota; Metazoa; Mollusca; Bivalvia; Ostreida; Ostreidae
Exons: 9
Source: RefSeq, a predicted model, not a curated record
AAGAAAUCCGUGAUGGCCAUGAUGGCGGGGAAGCUGAACAAUGUUGUCAUCGAAUAUAGAACUAUUAUAUUGAAUCGAAAAAUGAUCUAAGCUGUGGCCUUAAAGGAGUAGUCUCCUUUGAUAAAGAUCAACAGUGACAAAUAAACAAUGCUGUCUUGUCAUCAACGGUGAAAUUUGAGACUUUUAUACCCAUAUAUCUACCAAUCACCUCUGUCCACUUUGUUUUGUACAUCUGAGACAGGUGUACACGAGAUGCCAGUAUUCACUCCUUUCCACGGACACCUGUUAGGAGGAUUUUCAUUUGUUUGCUGCCUUUGUCUUGGGAGGUGGAGGCACCAGGGCAAUGAGGUCAUUUUGUCCCUUUAUUAUGCUGACAGAGAGUCCCUAACCAUCUGAUCCAUCAUGAUAGGCAUUUUUCUUUAUGAUGCAGUACUUGCUGAGAGAGAGAGAGAGAGUCUCAUACUCGGAUGAGCACAGCGUAGAUAUAAAUCAAAAUCCCGGACUUGUGUUUCAUACACAAUGAUGUAUAAGUGGCUCAUCUUACAUCAAAUGGAAUGGAUCCAUGCCAGGAUUCACUUUUCCUUCCCAUGCUGGUUCCAGUCCAGUAAACUGUCACAGUCUGGGAAAUUCUGUCACUGGUGAUGCCGCAGAAAGAAAACACUAUGGAUGCACAUGAUGCUACUUCCUGAAUGGUGCUGAACCUGUUUGUCAACAUGUGGAACCCAUGUGUACUUGAGGGAGAAGUCUCCCUUGAUAAAGUUCAACAAUGGCGGAUAAACAAUGUGGGAUGCUGUCUUGUCAACAACAGUGAAAUUUGACACCUGUAUACCCAUAUUUCUACCAAUUGUCUCAGUC